RNAcentral lists this unclassified non-coding RNA (377 nucleotides) under uncultured Micrococcales bacterium. RNAcentral describes it as "contains 16S-23S intergenic spacer region". The record is from RNAcentral. Lineage: Bacteria; Bacillati; Actinomycetota; Actinomycetes; Micrococcales.
UCCGAGUUGACCCCGGCAGUCUCCUGCGAGUCCCCGCCAUUACGCGCUGGCAACACAGGACAAGGGUUGCGCUCGUUGCGGGACUUAACCCAACAUCUCACGACACGAGCUGACGACAACCAUGCACCACCUGUACACCGACCUUACGGAAACCACAUCUCUGCAGCGAUCCGGUGCAUGUCAAGCCUUGGUAAGGUUCUUCGCGUUGCAUCGAAUUAAUCCGCAUGCUCCGCCGCUUGUGCGGGCCCCCGUCAAUUCCUUUGAGUUUUAGCCUUGCGGCCGUACUCCCCAGGCGGGGCACUUAAUGCGUUAGCUACGGCACAGAACAGGUGGAACCUGCCCCACACCUAGUGCCCAACGUUUACGGCAUGGACUAC